GGAAAUUUUGAUGAAAAGAAAUUAUUUUGUAUAGAUUGAAACGAAUUUUGUGUUAUGAACAUUAUUGAGAUAUAACGUUUUUAUAUUGUCUCCAUCUACUCGGCUUUAGAUGCUUUUGAUGGUAAUUGUUUACUCACUAGGAUUAUUUAAUCUCACCCCUCUUCCUAUCCAUUUUUCAGGCUCAGGACAGUUUGUUGAUAGUUGAUUAAGACGAGAAUUAAUCUCGGAGUUGCAUCAUAGGAAGUAAGGGUUCGUAGCUCUACACCUUCUUGGUUAGUUAGGGGCCCACGUGUCACUGUAAA
This 302-nucleotide long non-coding RNA is filed under the name Theobroma cacao (cacao). Its description in RNAcentral is "long non-coding RNA (TCAC_LNC005511)". Lineage: Eukaryota; Viridiplantae; Streptophyta; Magnoliopsida; Malvales; Malvaceae. The record is from RNAcentral.